This 117-nucleotide non-coding RNA is filed under the name Gorilla gorilla gorilla (western lowland gorilla). Lineage: Eukaryota; Metazoa; Chordata; Mammalia; Primates; Hominidae. The record is from Rfam by way of RNAcentral.
GCCGGGCAUGGUGGUGCAUGCCUGUAAUCCCAGCACUUUGGGAGGCUGAGGCGGGUGGAUCACCUGAGGUCAGGAGUUCGAGACCAGCCUGGCCAACAUGGUGAAACCCCAUCUCUA